RNAcentral lists this long non-coding RNA (338 nucleotides) under Androctonus crassicauda. Lineage: Eukaryota; Metazoa; Arthropoda; Arachnida; Scorpiones; Buthidae. The record is from RNAcentral.
AGCGGACCAGGGUAUAGGGAACAACUGCAGCACUCCAGUUUGAGGGGUGCUUUCGGCCAUUUUUGUUGCCAUCUUCAGCUCAUACAUGCAUGAUUGGAGCAAGAGUUCGAAUCCACGGGAAGAGUUCGAAUCCACGGGAAUCCUGCCCUCAAAACUCUACAUGGGUAUCCUUUGGUGGGAGCAUCACAAUGUCUUUGGCGGGUGUUCCGGGGUUUCAGCAUGGAGUCGGUCUGCCUAUCAUUUACAAUCAUGGCCUUCUGCCUAUUUUUGUAGAUCUGGAUAGUUUCAGCCAUGGGCGAUUCCCCAACACUCGGGCCAGGCUUGGUCACCCUAGAAUC